AUUCCAUGAUGAGGGCACUUUCGUAAUAAUCUUUUGUACCUUUCCCAUGCCUCAAACAAGGACUCGUCAUCCAUUUGUUGGAAAGUAGUGAUCUAAUUCCUCAACUU
Gossypium raimondii (Peruvian cotton) is the source of this 107-nucleotide small nucleolar RNA. The record is from RefSeq and is a predicted model, not a curated record. NCBI's taxonomy places the organism in Eukaryota, Viridiplantae, Streptophyta, Magnoliopsida, Malvales, Malvaceae.